This 275-nucleotide ribosomal RNA is filed under the name Fusarium sp. HMA-12. RNAcentral describes it as "partial 28S ribosomal RNA". It matches the Rfam family "Eukaryotic large subunit ribosomal RNA", at positions 1 to 266 of the family's 3401-position model. The record is from RNAcentral. Lineage: Eukaryota; Fungi; Ascomycota; Sordariomycetes; Hypocreales; Nectriaceae.
AACUUCUGAAUGUUGACCUCGGAUCAGGUAGGAAUACCCGCUGAACUUAAGCAUAUCAAUAAGCGGAGGAAAAGAAACCAACAGGGAUUGCCCUAGUAACGGCGAGUGAAGCGGCAACAGCUCAAAUUUGAAAUCUGGCUUUCGGGCCCGAGUUGUAAUUUGUAGAGGAUACUUUUGAUGCGGUGCCUUCCGAGUUCCCUGGAACGGGACGCCAUAGAGGGUGAGAGCCCCGUCUGGUUGGAUGCCAAAUCUCUGUAAAGUUCCUUCGACGAGUC